This 308-nucleotide ribosomal RNA is filed under the name Podopinae sp. 1 WCW-2007. RNAcentral's name for it is "eukaryotic LSU rRNA". It matches the Rfam family "Eukaryotic large subunit ribosomal RNA", at positions 678 to 938 of the family's 3401-position model. The record is from RNAcentral. Lineage: Eukaryota; Metazoa; Arthropoda; Insecta; Hemiptera; Pentatomidae.
GCGUGUGCGCGAGUCAUUGGGUGUAAAACCUAAAGGCGCAAUGAAAGUGUCAGGGGUGCCUCCUUCAGGAGCGCAUCCCGUUGGGAGGAUGGGCCGCCGUACGAUCACUCGUCGGAGCCCCGCACUCCCGGGGCGUCUCGUUCUCAUCACGAGUGGAGACGCACCAGGAGCGCACACGCUGGUACCCGAAAGAUGGUGAACUAUGCCUGGCCAGGACGAAGCCAGGGGAAACCCUGGUGGAGGUCCGAAGCGAUUCUGACGUGCAAAUCGAUCGUCUGAGCUGGGUAUAGGGGCGAAAGACCAAUCGA